UGUGCGGUUUGUAAUACUGGCAGUGCAAAAACAGUACUAUUUACACAUUAUUAUAUAUUACACAUCUGAUAAAAAUUAACUUAUAAUUUUUUUUUUUGUUUUAUUAUUAAUAAAAAGUACAAUUUUAAGAAUGAUUUUUUAGUUUGUUGGUGGUCUUAGCUUAUUUUUAUUAUGUCAGGCUGUCAUGAUGUUCUUAUGUAAUUUAUGUAUAACAUAAGAUUAAAAUGAGAUUUUCAUGACCAAGUUUACUUAUUAAAACAUUUACUACGCCCAUAAAAUAUCUUGAUUCAACUCGUCAACACGGGUUUUUUCACGGAUGGAUGGUUUGUGUUGCAAACAAUGAAGUUAUUUAGCACUGGGCACAAAAUGCAUGGUUUGUUAAGUACAAAAUAUUUAUAUUAAGCAUAAAUAUUUAUAUAAGUACCUUGACCUUCACUUCUAUCAAUUUUCAAAGUAAAUUGAUAGUAUCCGGGAAAUUCAAUGGUCGCC
Long non-coding RNA from Daktulosphaira vitifoliae (grape phylloxera), 489 nucleotides. RefSeq lists it as uncharacterized. The transcript has 3 exons. The record is from RefSeq and is a predicted model, not a curated record. Lineage: Eukaryota; Metazoa; Arthropoda; Insecta; Hemiptera; Phylloxeridae.